RNAcentral lists this non-coding RNA (26 nucleotides) under Homo sapiens (human). Lineage: Eukaryota; Metazoa; Chordata; Mammalia; Primates; Hominidae. The record is from RNAcentral.
UACCCGGGAAGGGGGCCAGUGCAGGU